GAGGAUAUAGCUCAAAUGGUAGAGUGCAUGCUUAGCAUGCACAAGGUCAUGGGUUCAAUCCCCAGUACCUCCA
Molecule: transfer RNA, 73 nt
Filed under: Camelus bactrianus (Bactrian camel)
Lineage: Eukaryota; Metazoa; Chordata; Mammalia; Artiodactyla; Camelidae
Also listed under: 3 other names
Rfam family: tRNA
About the family: Transfer RNA (tRNA) molecules are approximately 80 nucleotides in length.
Source: Rfam by way of RNAcentral